AAGAAAAAGCAACACAGGAAGAUUAGCAAGUUGACUAUUGUUCUAAUUACCAAAUGACAAAAACCCCACCCGGUAAGGAGAUUAUUUAAAUCUAAGACUACAUCAAGGAUAUAGCUGGUACAUUCUUAGCUCCCAGAAAACGCACGUUUACAUGCCUAUGUUUUUGGAAAUGACUUUAUAGUAAAUCUGUUCCCACUGACAGGAGAACCCAGUAAGACCUAAAAGCAUGAAUUUGUACUUUUUUCUUUUCCUUUUAAAAUCUUGCCUACUACUCUUAGUGUUAGGUAUUUAUACCUUUGAAUAGUUUAAUGUUUCUAGACAGCUCAGUCUAGCAGUAUGAAAGACAGUGUGUAUAGGGGUAGAUAAACCACUAUUAAAAAAAAAAUUUUUUUUUAGGACAGUCCAGUCAAGCAACUUUUUAUAUUAAUUAAAAAAAAGGGUUCAUUAAAAAAUUUUCACAUGGCCUCCUAUCCUGAAAUCUAGCCUACCACACUGCUCACAGUCUCACAAGCACAGGAGGCCACCUACAACAAACUUAAAAAAAUUUAAGAGUGUUUUUAAGUUAGGGGCCUAACUCUGACUACUGGGAUUCUUCCUCAUAAAAAUGAAGCAAUUUCCCCACUGAAACUGUUUUCUCCUAGUUACAGACUCCAGAUUCAUCGCUACAUGCCCUAAGGUCUUGCUACCCAAAGUGUGUUCAGAAGACUAUCAGCCUCGAAGGACCUGGGAACUUGUCAGUAACACACUCUUGGGCUCACUGCCAACUGCAGAACUGGAAGAGGGGUUCCUAACACACUUCAAAGUCAGAGACCUGCUGUCCUAAGUUACCAAAGAACUAAAGAGGACAGGAGGAGUUCAAUGUGAAUUGGCAUACAUAGGAAAACUAGCACAUGCCAGGUACAGUGCACCACAGGUCUUCCAAUAACAUACCUCUUAAUGGGAAGUCAGUCUUUUCAGAAUCUAUCCUACAUAGAAUAAAGAUGCCUUUUUGCAUCCUGCCUUUUCUUACAUGUGAGAGGCUAAGAUGAACCAGUCACACAUGAACGACGUGUUAAGAAGUAGCGAUGACUUAACAGCACUUCUCAGUUUGCCAACAGGACAGAGAAAUGAAGUGUUAGCAUCAGCGAUCAAGUGGAAAGUUUGAACAGUGACACGCAGAGUUCUGUUAAUAAGGAGGCAACUGUCAGGUGUACAUCUGGAUCUCUGCUACACAGAUAACACCUUUCGCAAGGUGUGUUUCAGGCCCUUGUGAAACACCUUCUCAUGAAUUUUCUAACUUUGGCUAGUACCACAGACAUUCAAAAAUCAAUGAUUCUGUUCACUUGCUCUUGAGCACAGCAGUUCAGGCUGUUUGAAAAGAUUCUUUAAAUAUCUGUAAAAUUCACGUGUGGUAAUAAACAUCUGGUUGCUUUUCUCCCCUUACAUGCUUUCAAGCCUCUGAAUACAACAUGACCGCAGUCAACACAAGAUCUAAACGAAAUCCUUGAGGUCCUUCUAUGUGAGGUAUGACAGCAAAAGUCCAUAAACAUUAACAGGUUCUCGUCUGAGGCGGCGACAAUGAGAGAAGAAAUGACACAGAAUAGACAUGGCACAGGGAAUUCCCCCGAGGUCCAGUGACAGGCUCGAUGCUUUCACUGCCAUGGGCCCAGGCUGGAUGCCUACUCAGGGAACUAAGAUCU
Molecule: long non-coding RNA, 1679 nt
Organism: Dama dama (fallow deer)
Lineage: Eukaryota; Metazoa; Chordata; Mammalia; Artiodactyla; Cervidae
Exons: 3
Source: RefSeq, a predicted model, not a curated record